Long non-coding RNA from Mytilus californianus (California mussel), 677 nucleotides. RefSeq lists it as uncharacterized. The record is from RefSeq and is a predicted model, not a curated record. NCBI's taxonomy places the organism in Eukaryota, Metazoa, Mollusca, Bivalvia, Mytilida, Mytilidae. The transcript has 3 exons.
AGAUCUCCUAAUUUCUUUUUACACAUGAAAGGAUCAACAGUACCUCUCUGUAUGAAUUUAAAUCCAAAUGAAACUGGAAGAUAUCAGUUCUUAUACAGUCCAAAAAAGCCACACAAAUCCCUUCAUGUAAUCUUUGAAAAACAAAUGAUUCAGAAGAAGAAUAGGGAUUACAUAAAAGCCGUGAGGUUAAGGGAAGGAACGGAAACACAGUUUAUGGAUUCUAAGAUUUUAAAUGUAUCGACUGCUACUUUGAAUUCGACGAAACUAUGGAAGGAGAUCAACAACAGGAGAACAAACGAUUUUUCGCUAUAUAAUCUUACGACUGUUAUCUCCCCUUCUAAAGACCCGUUAUUUGGUUUACAGCUGCAUCUUUAUAUAAAACAAAGCAACAACGCUUAUGCUACUGGACCAUUAAGUUGGUUUGUUGGAAUGAGAAUAAAAAACUUUGGGCUUGAAAUAGUUGUGCAACCGAAUGUAGGAAAACAGUUUACCAUCAGAAAUUUUAGACUACUUAAAUCUACGUCUGUAUCUUCAUUUUUAACAGACUCAUGUUGGUAUAUAAUCAACCCCGAAAAGGAAUUUCCACUUUGGGAAAGAUUAUUUCAGCAAAAAGAUGUCGAAACAUGGCCAUAAUUAUACGAAAUCAAUAUGAUGCUUUUUAAAAGUUCAGUUGCAUU